CCUANGGGAGGCUGCAGUGGGGAAUUUUGCGCAAUGGGCGAAAGCCUGACGCAGCAACGCCGCGUGGGUGAUGAAGGUCUUCGGAUCGUAAAACCCUGUCGUCAGGGACGAAGGUUUGGGCGUUAAUAGCGUUUAAGCUUGACGGUACCUGGAGAGGAAGCCCCGGCUAACUCUGUGCCAGCAGCCGCGGUAAUACAGAGGGGGCAAGCGUUAUUCGGAAUUAUUGGGCGUAAAGGGCGCGUAGGCGGCUUUUUAAGUGAGAUGUGUAAUCCCCGAGCUCAACUUGGGAACUGCAUCUCAUACUGGGAGGCUAGAGUACUGGAGAGGGUGGUAGAAUUCCACGUGUAGCGGUGAAAUGCGUAGAGAUGUGGAGGAAUACCAGUGGCGAAGGCGGCCACCUGGACAGUAACUGACGCUGAGGCGCGAAAGUGUGGGUAGCAAACAGGAUUAGAUACCCGGNUANUC
RNAcentral lists this ribosomal RNA (465 nucleotides) under uncultured bacterium. RNAcentral describes it as "bacterial SSU rRNA". It matches the Rfam family "Bacterial small subunit ribosomal RNA", at positions 338 to 795 of the family's 1533-position model. The record is from RNAcentral.